AGGAAGUUAGUCUAAAACAAAGACAGUUGAUUUCGACUCAACAAACCAUAGCCCCCCCCUAUGACUUCCUU
RNAcentral lists this transfer RNA (71 nucleotides) under Melopsittacus undulatus (budgerigar). RNAcentral describes it as "tRNA-Arg". The record is from RNAcentral. Lineage: Eukaryota; Metazoa; Chordata; Aves; Psittaciformes; Psittaculidae.